This is a long non-coding RNA of Sapajus apella (tufted capuchin), 92 nucleotides long. RefSeq lists it as uncharacterized. The transcript is spliced from 3 exons. The record is from RefSeq and is a predicted model, not a curated record. NCBI's taxonomy places the organism in Eukaryota, Metazoa, Chordata, Mammalia, Primates, Cebidae.
AAAAUGUUACUGAGAAAAGAAAUUAUAUUUACUCUUCAUUAAAUGGAAGUUGAUCAUCAUAAAGGUCUUCAUCCUCAUUUUCUUCAGGUUAA